Molecule: ribosomal RNA, 301 nt
Filed under: uncultured bacterium
Lineage: Bacteria
Description: partial 16S ribosomal RNA
Rfam family: Bacterial small subunit ribosomal RNA
Source: RNAcentral
CAGUCGCCGCGGGUAUACGGAGGAUCCAAGCGUUAUCCGGAAUCAUUGGGUUUAAAGGGUCCGUAGGCGGUCUUGUAAGUCAGUGGUGAAAGCCCAUCGCUCAACGGUGGAACGGCCAUUGAUACUGCAGGACUUGAAUUAUUGGGAAGUAACUAGAAUAUGUAGUGUAGCGGUGAAAUGCUUAGAGAUUACAUGGAAUACCAAUUGCGAAGGCAGGUUACUACCAAUUGAUUGACGCUGAUGGACGAAAGCGUGGGUAGCGAACAGGAUUAGAUACCCGGGUAGUCCCUGUCUCUUAUAC